GGCGUGCUUAACACAUGCAAGUCGAACGAAGAGCGAUGGAAGCUUGCUUCUAUCAAUCUUAGUGGCGAACGGGUGAGUAACGCGUAAUCAACCUGCCCUUCAGAGGGGGACAACAGUUGGAAACGACUGCUAAUACCGCAUACGAUCCAAUCUCGGCAUCGAGACUGGAUGAAAGGUGGCCUCUAUUUAUAAGCUAUCACUGAAGGAGGGGAUUGCGUCUGAUUAGCUAGUUGGAGGGGUAACGGCCCACCAAGGCGAUGAUCAGUAGCCGGUCUGAGAGGAUGAACGGCCACAUUGGGACUGAGACACGGCCCAGACUCCUACGGGAGGCAGCAGUGGGGAAUCUUCCGCAAUGGACGAAAGUCUGAGUGAGCAACGCCGCGUGAGUGAUGACGGCCUUCGGGUUGUAAAGU
Molecule: ribosomal RNA, 413 nt
Filed under: Veillonella atypica
Lineage: Bacteria; Bacillati; Bacillota; Negativicutes; Veillonellales; Veillonellaceae
Description: bacterial SSU rRNA
Rfam family: Bacterial small subunit ribosomal RNA
Source: RNAcentral